CACAGAUGAUGAUUCCGAAUAUUUGCUAUCUUACCACCACUGAAGACAACCUUUCCACCAAGAUCGCUGAUGUG
Non-coding RNA from Nerophis lumbriciformis (worm pipefish), 74 nucleotides. The record is from RefSeq and is a predicted model, not a curated record. Lineage: Eukaryota; Metazoa; Chordata; Actinopteri; Syngnathiformes; Syngnathidae.